UAUGAAGGGGGCUAGCGUUGCUCGGAAUGACUGGGCGUAAAGGGCGCGUAGGCGGAUGGCACAGUCAGAUGUGAAAUUCCCGGGCUUAACCUGGGGGCUGCAUUUGAUACGUGUUGUCUUGAGUUCGGAAGAGGGUCGUGGAAUUCCCAGUGUAGAGGUGAAAUUCGUAGAUAUUGGGAAGAACACCAGUGGCGAAGGCGGCUCACUGGACCGGUAUUGACGCUGAGGUGCGAAAGCGUGGGGAGCAAACAGG
RNAcentral lists this ribosomal RNA (253 nucleotides) under uncultured bacterium. RNAcentral's name for it is "partial 16S ribosomal RNA". It matches the Rfam family "Bacterial small subunit ribosomal RNA", at positions 524 to 776 of the family's 1533-position model. The record is from RNAcentral.